Molecule: ribosomal RNA, 96 nt
Filed under: Escherichia coli
Lineage: Bacteria; Pseudomonadati; Pseudomonadota; Gammaproteobacteria; Enterobacterales; Enterobacteriaceae
Also listed under: 3 other names
Source: RNAcentral
CCUGGCGGCCGUAGCGCGGUGGUCCCACCUGACCCCAUGCCGAACUCAGAAGUGAAACGCCGUAGCGCCGAUGGUAGUGUGGGGUCUCCCCAUGCG